AACUAAGUAGUGAUAUUCAUAUUAAGUUGCAAACUUAACGACGCAAAUGCCUUAGUUA
This 58-nucleotide transfer RNA is filed under the name Pseudoniphargus sorbasiensis. RNAcentral's name for it is "tRNA-Cys". Lineage: Eukaryota; Metazoa; Arthropoda; Malacostraca; Amphipoda; Allocrangonyctidae. The record is from RNAcentral.